Molecule: transfer RNA, 72 nt
Organism: Camelus ferus (Wild Bactrian camel)
Lineage: Eukaryota; Metazoa; Chordata; Mammalia; Artiodactyla; Camelidae
Rfam family: tRNA
About the family: Transfer RNA (tRNA) molecules are approximately 80 nucleotides in length.
Source: Rfam
GUGGGUAUAGUUCAGUGGUAGAGUAUGUACCUAGCAAGCAUGAGGUCCUGGGUUCAAUCCCCAGUAUCUCCA